This 421-nucleotide ribosomal RNA is filed under the name uncultured bacterium. Its description in RNAcentral is "partial 16S ribosomal RNA". It matches the Rfam family "Bacterial small subunit ribosomal RNA", at positions 360 to 773 of the family's 1533-position model. The record is from RNAcentral.
AAUAUUGGACAAUGGGGGCAACCCUGAACCAGCCAUGCCGCGUGUGUGAAGAAGGUCUUCGGAUUGUAAAGCACUUUAAGUAGGGAGGAAGGGCUUUAGGUUAAUACUCUGAAGUUUUUACGUUACCAACAGAAUAAGCAACGGCUAACCUUGUGCCAGCAGCCGCGGUAAUACAGUGGGUGCAAGCGUUAAACGGAAUUACUGGGCGUAAAGCGAGCGUAAGUAGGUCAGUAAGAUGGGUGGUAAAUCCCCGGGCUUAACCUGGGAACUGCUUUCAUAACUGCUGAGAUAAGGUACGGUAGGGGGUAGAGGAAUUUCCUGUGUAACGGGGAAAUGCGUAGGUAUAGGAAGGAACACAAGUGGCGAAGGCGACUACCUGGACUGAUACUGACACUGAUUUGCGAAAGCGUGGGGAGCAAAC